GCCCUGUAGCUGGCUCAGUUGGCAGAGCAUGAGACUCUUAAUCUCAGGGUCAUGGGUCCCAAGUUGGGCA
Non-coding RNA from Podarcis lilfordi (Lilford's wall lizard), 70 nucleotides. The record is from the annotation of a GenBank genome assembly. Lineage: Eukaryota; Metazoa; Chordata; Lepidosauria; Squamata; Lacertidae.